AAACGACAUAUAAAUCUUUUUUGGCUAUGAGAUCUACUGAUGAUUCAUUGAAGCCUAUAUACGUUUCAAUUGGUCAUCGUGUUUCACUCAACACUGCCAUCAAGAUUGUUAAAAUCACAUGCAAAUAUCGUGUUCCAGAACCUAUCCGACAGGCUGACAUUAGGUCAAGAGAAUACCUCCGGAAACUACAAAUGGGAACGUUAGAAAGAGCGACUUCAUGGUAAAGAGGGAUGGACGGACUCGGGAGAAAAAU
RNAcentral lists this unclassified non-coding RNA (253 nucleotides) under Hevea brasiliensis (rubber tree). The record is from RNAcentral. Lineage: Eukaryota; Viridiplantae; Streptophyta; Magnoliopsida; Malpighiales; Euphorbiaceae.